CCAAUAGCGUAUAUUAAAGUUGUUGCGGUUAAAAAGCUCGUAGUUGGAUCUCGGCAGGCAGGGGGUGGUUCGCUCUUAGCGCUACUGCCCCAUUUGCCUGUGUGAUUGGCGGAGGUUUCGGGGUGCUCUUCGUUGAGUGACCCGGGGCGCCGUCAGGUUUACUUUGAAAAAAUUAGAGUGCUCAAAGCAGGCUUUUCACGCUUGAAUAUUCGUGCAUGGAAUAAUGGAAUAGGAACUCGUUUCUAUUUUGUUGGUUUUCGGAAAUCGAGUUAAUGAUUAAUAGGGACAAUUGGGGGCAUUAGUAUUCAGACGACAGAGGUGAAAUUCUUGGACCGUCUGAAGACUAACUACUGCGAAAGCAUUUGCCAAGAGUGUUUUCAUUAA
Molecule: ribosomal RNA, 384 nt
Filed under: uncultured eukaryote
Lineage: Eukaryota
Description: partial 18S ribosomal RNA
Rfam family: Eukaryotic small subunit ribosomal RNA
Source: RNAcentral